AAUCAAGGUCAUUGCCAUUUCAUUAAAUGUGCUGUCUCUUUCUCUCUCCUCAGAAGACAAAAUUUACUCCAGUUUUGACGAAUCAAAAAAUCAGAGUCAGAAGUCAAACGGAAGAAGAAAAUCAACAGCCUGAAGAUCAGCCAGCCCUUGUUUCGAUAACGGAGACGGGCGAAGCAGGCGUAGUCUUCACGUUGGUGGACUCGACGACCGCGGAGCUGCAGAAGCAUGCGAACAUCGUGGCGCCGACCCUGAGGAUCCCGGCGCAGAACGCCUCCUCUUCAACGGGACCCCCCUGAGCGGGCCGACGUCGAACGGGUCGCAGGACCACCAGGGCCACCCCGUUCAGCGCCCGGUCUACGUCGUCCGCGCCGAGCCCAAAGUCGUCGGCAAGCAUGCCGUCCCCGAGGUCCCGAGCCGGAACCCGAGAAGAACGAUACCGGCCCUGGGGUCCCUCCGCCCGUCCCUGACAAACCCUCGCCGCCGGCCCCGCCCGCCGGGGACCACGACAGCGUCAUCAUCGUCCCCAGGUGGAGCCUGCCGCGGCCCAGUCCCACGAGGAUAUCCCGUCCUUCAACGAGUGGGCCCAGAAGCAGUUGGCUGAGGCUGAAAAGAAGAAGGGUAUGUCUCCGCCUUAUCGGAAAUAAUAAUUUUUUCUUUCUUUCUUUCUGCUGGUUUAAUGCAUGGUGUCUACACUGAAAAAAAAAUCUCUGUGUAUUUACCAAGAAAAGGGUAAAAUUACCAAGAAUUCAGGGUUCUAUUUGAUCCCAGUUUUUUCUUGGUAAAAUUACCGUUUAUGGAAU
This 800-nucleotide long non-coding RNA is filed under the name Bemisia tabaci. RNAcentral's name for it is "lncRNA ENSSSA3NGG000205". The record is from RNAcentral. Lineage: Eukaryota; Metazoa; Arthropoda; Insecta; Hemiptera; Aleyrodidae.